UGCUGGGGUAGCUCAGUUGGUAGAGCAUGAGGCUCUUUAUCUCAGGGUCAUGGGUUUGAGCCCCUGUUGGGCAA
Molecule: non-coding RNA, 74 nt
Organism: Podarcis lilfordi (Lilford's wall lizard)
Lineage: Eukaryota; Metazoa; Chordata; Lepidosauria; Squamata; Lacertidae
Source: the annotation of a GenBank genome assembly